Molecule: long non-coding RNA, 944 nt
Organism: Suricata suricatta (meerkat)
Lineage: Eukaryota; Metazoa; Chordata; Mammalia; Carnivora; Herpestidae
Exons: 4
Source: RefSeq, a predicted model, not a curated record
AGCAUGGCCUCCCCUCGCUUCCCUGCAUCGUUUGACCCCACGAGCUGGGCCUUCCUCCUCUGUCAAUUCCCGCAGACUCCUGAAUGUCCCGUUCUCAAGCUUUCCAGCUGAUUUUGCUCAAAACUGAGACCGGGGAUGUUCAUCCCUUGGGGUGAAAGGAGGCUCACCCAGCAAUCAUCAAGCCACGUGUCUCUGACUUUGUGAGCCGUGGAGCUGCUGACAGUCCCUCCGUGGAGCUUCCCAGAUGUCUAGGGUGUAUGUGAUAUGCAUGGAGUUAUCUUCUCAAGAUGUUUUUUUAGACUGUGUCCUGGGAAGAUUUCAACACCUUCUUAGCAAACCAAGUCCCCACAAAGCUGAAGUGAAUAGCCAAAGAGGACGUGAUCUUUCAGCACUUCUAUCUAAAAAACACUGCAAAGGAACUUCCUCUUUUAAGGCUCUCCACCAGAUGCUGGAGUAAAAGGAUAUUGAAUAAGACAAACAGAAAUGGUGUUGACAUUAAAGAAGUCAAGAAGGAAGCAGUCAUGUGAUCACCUGCCUGGAGUUCUAUUCUUCAGGGGCUGAGAUAGAAGGCUAAGCUGACCGCAAAGUAUGGAAGGAGUAUAAAUCCUGGCUGGAGUAAAGGGAUGUAUAGAGUCAUAACCCAGAAACUUAAAAGAUGAGAAGCCUGAUGACCAGGAGUCUAGAACAGUGUGCUGUGUGAGAAGGGACAAGUGGAAGUCUGUGCAUUGAUCAAGGCAAUGCAAGGACUUCAGCCUGCCUGGAGAUUUGGAGACAAGAACUGGAAAGGAUACUCUGUGUAUGAAAAUGCUAGCAGAAACCUUAUCAUGGUAAAUCUUGAAAAACACACAUUUUAUUCUGCCAACAUUGAGGAGACAUUUGUGGGUUUUCAACUGGGAAAUGAUAUCAUUUCUGGGAUUUAAAAAAAAUGUUUAUUCAUUUUUGAG